This 922-nucleotide unclassified non-coding RNA is filed under the name Aplysia californica (California sea hare). Its description in RNAcentral is "beta-1,3-galactosyltransferase 1, transcript variant X4". Lineage: Eukaryota; Metazoa; Mollusca; Gastropoda; Aplysiida; Aplysiidae. The record is from RNAcentral.
GGGGAAAAGAAAGAAAAAUAAAAACAAGCGCAAUGCUCGAGAAGAAACGACAGUGGCCGUGAUGCAAUCCAGUAAGGUUUCUGUCUUGACAGACUGGAUAUAGAGUCUAGAUCUAGAUGCCCAGAAAACGUCUCGAAGCACCAAUACUAAUUAGAUCUAGAUAUAGAUCUAGAUCUAAUAAUGGGGGGCGAUUCUCUUCUCGAGCCUAUCGUAUCGCUGGUAGAACUAGAAGGCGACUUACCGGUUCAGUUCAGGUGUGUGUGUAGAUCGUGUGUGGUCAGUGGUGUGUAGGUGUGUCAUUUUCUUUGUCAACAAGACGCGUGGUGACAAGUUAUGCCUUGCCGUGUGGCAGAUUUAGGACUUUAUUUGGCGUUUUUAUUGUUAAAAAAUGAUUUAAAACAAACUUUAGGUUCUAAUAAGCAAGAUGGUGUUGGCGAGAGGCUACUUUCUGAGAUUGUGAUCUAAAUUCCCAGUCUAUCACCAUGAGAUGAGAACUACAAGACGACGGCUGACUGAUUGGGUCUCCUGCUGUGAAAUCGGGAGUACUAGGUGUCCUGAUGGCUCUCAUCGGAAGCUACUGGUACAUGUUUCUUGACUCCACCUUCCCCACCACUGACAAGCACGAUGUUGGCGCCAAAGUCAUCCUGGACCAGAUCUUUGGUGGCUCUUUUUUCUGCACUCUCUACAUUUUCGGUAUGGGUGUCAUGGAAGGGUACUCACUCACAGAAUGCUUCAGGGAGUGGACUGACAAAUUCCCGGCAAUUUAUAAAGCAAGUGACAUCACUGUGCUUGUCCGACGCCUUGCUUCGCUUUGUUACGCUACGAAAUGUUUGCUUUGUUUUAGUAGAGAUUUCACGGCGCUCUCAACUAUUAUUUUAAGUUCAUAUGAGCGCCAAGGGGAGGAUGUCAACAGAGAAGUCUU